GAUGAACGCUGGCGGCGUGCCUAAUACAUGCAAGUCGAGCGAACGGACGAGAAGCUUGCUUCUCUGAUGUUAGCGGCGGACGGGUGAGUAACAAGUGGAUAACCUACCUAUAAGACUGGGAUAACUUCGGGAAACCGUAGCUAAUACCGGAUAAUAUUUUGAACCGCAUGGUUCAAAAGUGAAAGACGGUCUUGCUGUCACUUAUAGAUGGAUCCGCGCUGCAUUAGCUAGUUGGUAAGGUAACGGCUUACCAAGGCAACGAUGGAUAGCCGACCUGAGAGGGUGAUCGCCCACACUGGAACUGAGACACGGUCCAGACUCCUACGGGAGGCAGCAGUAGGGAACCUUCCGCAAUGGGCGAAAGCCUGACGGAGCAACGGCGCGUGAGUGAUGAAGGUCUUCGGAUCGUAAAACUCUGUUAUUAGGGAAGAACAUAUGUGUAAGUAACUGUGCACAACUUGACGGUACCUAAUCAGAAAGCCACGGCUAACUACGUG
This 497-nucleotide ribosomal RNA is filed under the name uncultured bacterium. RNAcentral describes it as "partial 16S ribosomal RNA". It matches the Rfam family "Bacterial small subunit ribosomal RNA", at positions 28 to 507 of the family's 1533-position model. The record is from RNAcentral.